UUAUUAAUCAGUGCAAAAAGACUUUAUUUAUGAUAAGCUCAGUGUUGAGAUUGUAGACAUCACUAAAUUUUUAAUAUCAGUCCUCUGAUCACACAAGUUUGGAACACACAAACAUCAGGAAAACAUUUAACAACUUCUCUCUGAUAGAUAUAAAUAAAUAAAUAAAACCAUAAUAAAUAAGAAUAAAUAUAUGAUUAAACAUUUGGUUACUUAAACAUUUCAAAUGGUCACAGGUACUUCAGUUUGUUGCUUCAUUUGGAGGAUGUGAACUUAAGAAAUGUUAAAAACAUGAUCUGAGUACAUGUGACGACAGAGCCAGAACUACUGUAAGGAAGCUGAUGUUGUUGAGAAUAGCAGAGGAGGUGGUUGUUGCUGUCGCUGCAGUUAUGGUUGUUGAAGCAGCUGUAGUUGUUGUCGCGGCAGUUUUGGUUGUUGUUGGAACAGUUGUGGUUGUUGUUGCUGGUGUUGUUGUUGUUGUCGCUGCGGUUGUGGUUGUUGUUGAAGCAGCUGUAGUUGUUGUCGCGGCAGUUUUGGUUGUUGUUGGAACAGUGGUUGUUGCUGUCGCUGCAGUUAUGGUUGUUGAAGCAGCUGUAGUUGUUGUCGCGGCAGUUUUGGUUGUUGUUGGAACAGUUGUGGUUGUUGUUGCUGGUGUUGUUGUUGUUGUCGCUGCGGUUGUGGUUGUUGUUGAAGCAGCUGCAGUUGUUGUCGCGGCAGUUGUGAUUGUUGUUGGAACAGCUGUGGUUGUU
Astatotilapia calliptera (eastern happy) is the source of this 746-nucleotide long non-coding RNA. The record is from Ensembl. NCBI's taxonomy places the organism in Eukaryota, Metazoa, Chordata, Actinopteri, Cichliformes, Cichlidae.